GAGGGUAUAGCUCAAGUGGUAGAGUGCAUGCUUAGCAUGCAUGAGGUCCUGGGUUCAAUUCCCAAUACAUCCU
Molecule: transfer RNA, 73 nt
Filed under: Camelus bactrianus (Bactrian camel)
Lineage: Eukaryota; Metazoa; Chordata; Mammalia; Artiodactyla; Camelidae
Also listed under: 2 other names
Rfam family: tRNA
About the family: Transfer RNA (tRNA) molecules are approximately 80 nucleotides in length. Their secondary structure includes four short double-helical elements and three loops (D, anti-codon, and T loops). Further hydrogen bonds mediate the characteristic L-shaped molecular structure. tRNAs have two regions of fundamental functional importance: the anti-codon, which is responsible for specific mRNA codon recognition, and the 3' end, to which the tRNAs corresponding amino acid is attached (by aminoacyl-tRNA synthetases). tRNAs cope with the degeneracy of the genetic code in two manners: having more than one tRNA (with a specific anti-codon) for a particular amino acid; and 'wobble' base-pairing, i.e. permitting non-standard base-pairing at the 3rd anti-codon position.
Source: Rfam by way of RNAcentral